This 167-nucleotide ribosomal RNA is filed under the name Oxyurichthys lonchotus (speartail goby). RNAcentral describes it as "partial 12S rRNA". Lineage: Eukaryota; Metazoa; Chordata; Actinopteri; Gobiiformes; Gobiidae. The record is from RNAcentral.
CACCGCGGUUAUACGAGAGGCCCAAGUUGACAAAUGCCGGCGUAAAAUGUGGUUAUUACAGUAUUUCACUAAAGCCAAACAUCUUCAAAGCUGUUAUAUGCUCUCGAAGACAGGAAGUUCAUCCACGAAAGUGGCUUUAAGCUUUAUGUACCACGAAAGCUAGGGAA